Long non-coding RNA from Thunnus maccoyii (southern bluefin tuna), 2081 nucleotides. RefSeq lists it as uncharacterized. The record is from RefSeq and is a predicted model, not a curated record. NCBI's taxonomy places the organism in Eukaryota, Metazoa, Chordata, Actinopteri, Scombriformes, Scombridae. The transcript is spliced from 3 exons.
UGGUCUUUGUUUCUCUUUAAGAAAAGUUGAAAAAAGGUAGAAGGAAGAAGAAAAUUGGAAUAUAACAGCUUUCUUAUGAUUGCCUUUCUUUUUUUUUACAAGCAGCAUUUAUGACUUUCAUCUCAUGAACACAGCCUCAAUAUGAGGUUUUUUAUCAUCUUUUCUUUUCUUUUUUUUUUUGCCAUUAAUUAGCAGACCUUCAUCCUCAUACAUUAAGGUUGAAAGAGCACAGUCGUCUAUUAAUUCAACCCUGACAUUAAUUCUACCACUCGACUCUGCCCUCAAAGCCACUGAACACUCUUCAUUAUUCAUUUCUCACUGAGUAGUAAUGGCUACAGCAUCGCUCCGAAGCCGGCGGAGGCCACAAAUCUUAACAGUAUCAAGAAAAACUAUAACUACCUUUGCUAACAUUCAGAAAAAGGGGGUUUACUAAGCCAUCUACAAGUCUUGAAAGAAGGAUACAGGCACAUAAAUUUGAACGACUUGCUUGUCAAACAGCUUCAUUAAAAUUCUGUGAGCGUCAUCCUCUGUCACAAUGAAAUUCUGAAUGAACUUGUGGCUGUAUUUGUAGACGUAGCCUUACAUUUUUAUCCUCUGUGAUUGUCUGGAGGCCCUACACAGAUUUCAAUAACUGAUGUGAAAAAGGAGCGCAGCGAGAGCAGGCCACAACAAAGGAACAAUUUGACUAGUCACCUUCAGGCCACAUCACGGCAGUUCUCUGGAAGAGUUCUCCAGGUUCUCUGAAGCAACAGCAGACUGGGAGGGUUUUAAACUUUUGGUUUGGUGCUGGGGAAACAAGCGAUGAGUGAGAUAACUAGGAGGGAGGAGAUGACGACAAAGGUCCCCGAGCCACAUUCUGAAUCGGACCCCUCUGGGAACUAACUUCUUGGAGACCCCGCACCUCUUGAAGCCCCAGACCCUGGCGCUGACGGAUAUCCAGGUGGUUGACCGUGAGGGAGGAAGGGCCCGUUAGCAGAUGGACGAUGGACCCUGAAGCCGACAGGGUUAGCGUGAGACGCAGCACAGCUGAAGGGGGCAACAGGGGCUGUCAUCAUCACCGUGACAGCCCAAAAUGGACCCCGAUCCCCAUGCUAAUUACAAUGAAACCAUAGACAGAAUUACAAUGAAAAGAUGUUGAUGACACUGUUGUUUCGUUCUGUAUUGGCCAUUUGUCUGCGUCCGGUUGCUUUUCGCCAUGUAAAGUUUAUUUACAGUAAUAAAAAGGACACACACACAUUCUUAUUGAAGAGACUGGCUUUCUUAAUACCUUUGCCUUGUAAUACAUGUUAAGGAAUAGUCAAGGCGGGAUGAAGGGGCUGGUACGCUCCCUCAGGCAUGUUUUUCGGAUGGUCGAAUAGCUUCAGAAACCCCCUCCAGUCACACCUUCCUGAUGUCGGAGGCUUAAAAUAGUCAAAUCAAGUGGAUAUCUUUCAAAGUUACUGUAUUUUAAAUGCCAAAUUCCGUCUUUAUAUCAUCAAUAGAGAAACACUGUCUGGGGAAACACAACGAGGGAAUUUUAUACUAAAAAUACUAACUGUGGAAGAUAUCUACUAAAUUUGACUAAUUUGGACUGUUGAAGCAUCAAAGUAGCAUCAGAAGAACUUUUAAAUACACUUUUGUACAAAACGAUGUGGAUUUUGUCUCCCGUCACUUAUAUUGUAAGCACAUUUGAUCUUCUAAUGGUUAGUAUGACCAGGAGGAAUGAUUAUGGCAAACAAAGCCUGUUUCAUUGCUCAUAUAGGGACCUGAUGAUUGUUUUAAGACGGAUUUAAUAAGGGCCUAAAGGUAGGUCCUGCUUCAUUACCUAAUAUUUAGGCCCUGUGUUAAAGAGGGUCCUAGUGGAAAAAUCUAGUUUUAAGGCCUUCAUCAUUUCACUUGUGUGCUCAGUGUUGUUUAUACCUAAAUUCAUUAAUGUGUUUUGUAAACCUGGUUUAAGGUAUUAUUCCAGCAUGGAAAAACAGUACACAUUGUACAGAAAGCAGAAGGGACAGGAGCUGAACAGGGGCCCAUCUGGUAAAAGCUUGCCUGAGGCCCCGUAGCCGAUUAAUCUUCUUCCAGAAUUCAUGUGUCGUACAGGCAGA